CCUCGGGUUUGGUGCAGUUUAGUGUAUGCAAAUUAUACCUCAAUUUGAAAAAACAUCCUUCCAAGUGGGUGGAAAAGGACCUGCUGGCUACCUGGGGCAUGUUCUUGCAAUGACUGCAGAAACACAAGGGAGCAAGCCUCGUGACCCAAGCAGAUGUGAAAUCUUUGAUCAUGUGACAUCAACACUAACAUCCCUUUGAGCAAAGCGUGUCAUGUGCCCAAGGGCACCCCUGACGGAGUAAGGAAGCAUACUAUGCCAUGAUGGAGGGAAGAGUGCUUGCCCUUGAGAUGCUGCUUCUCAGAUCCCAGCUGCCAUGCUGCUGGGAGGCCGCGCCACAUGGAGAGGCCAUAGCCGUCACAUUGGUCGGCAGCCCCGGCUGACUGCCAGCCCUCGCCAGCUGUGUGAAAGGGACAUCUUGGGUGUGACUGCAACUGCAUGCGAGAUGCUGAGCCCUGUCCGCCCCAUGGAACCAGACGCAGUGAUAAUAAACUGCAGGCAUAAGUGA
Molecule: long non-coding RNA, 505 nt
Organism: Suricata suricatta (meerkat)
Lineage: Eukaryota; Metazoa; Chordata; Mammalia; Carnivora; Herpestidae
Exons: 3
Source: RefSeq, a predicted model, not a curated record